UCAAACAACAACAACAGGGUCCAAACAACAACAACAGGGUCCAACAACAACAACAGGGUUCGACAACAACAACAACAGGGUCCAACAGGUUGAAACCUUUAUCUCAUAGUGUUGUUUACUCACCGGUUACCGGACGGAGGACCAUCCCGUACAGACACAACGACAGCAUCGUGAUUUGUUUCAGCAACGCCAUUGACUUCACUCUGUUGUACAUUUUUUUGAUUUAACUCCCAACAAAAAAACUUAAUGUAUUUAUAUGUCUUUCACGUCAGCUCAAUAAGUUGAAGUGAAAUGUCCAGUAUGGAAGAAGACAUUGAAAAGUAAAUGAUCAGUGAUGAAGACGGCGUCAGAUUGUCCUGCUAACAGCUAGCUAACGUUAGCCAACACAACGUUAGCUGAAAAUUACCUCACUAACAUUAACAAUACACUGGUAGCGUUACUACAGGUAGCUAACUAUGUUAAAAUAAACUUGUUUGGGGGGGGGGGGGACGGUCUUAUGCCUACAAAGUCCAACUUUGCCGUAUUUUUUGUCCCCCUUUUCAAGGUAACUAGCUAACGUUAGCUAGCUAGCUCCUUUGCUAACGUUAGGCAGCCUUUGAUAGCUAACCGUCCAAGCUAGCUAGCUAGCUAACGUUAGGUAUUUAUUAUAUACAAAAAGGUCCGUCAAAUCCAAAUUCCAUGUUGACUAUUCCCAUUCCAUAGGUCUUUGUCUUAACAACGUCCAUCCAUUCAGGGUUUAUUUGGUCUAUUCAGGGGUUUAGUAAAUAGGUUUUAGUCCCGUCGGGGUGGAUAGCCGUCUCUUUCUGCAUUUGGCAUUGACCGUGGAGGCUCCGGGCAGGGCAGGGCACCGGACAGCGAGGCUCCGGGCAGCGAGGCUCCGGGCAGCGAGGCACCGGACAGCGAGGCACCGGACAGCGAGGCACCGGGCAGGGCAGGGCACCGGACAGCGAGGCUCCGGGCAGGACAGGGCACCAGACAGCGAGGCUCCGGGCAGCGAGGCACCGGACAGUGAGGCGCAGAGCAGGGCAGGGCACCGGACAGCGAGGCUCCGGGCAGGACAGGGCACCAGACAGCGAGGCUCCGGGCAGGGCACCGGACAGCGAGGCUCCGGGCAGGGCAGGGCAGCAGACAGCGAGGCUCCGGGCAGGGCACCGGACAGCGAGGCUCCGGGCAGGGCAGGGCAGCAGACAGCGAGGCUCCGGGCAGGACAGGGCACCAGACAGCGAGGCUCCGGGCAGGACGGCGGCGGCGGGGGGAAACGCCUGGUUGUGUCUCCACUAUCAGGCAGCCAUGUAUAAUGUCCAUGUGGCGUCUCUGGUGAGGGAGCAGUGAGGAGGAAAGGAGAGCGUUCAUGUUGCUACGCUGCUGCUGCAUUUACACCUGCUGUCCACACGGUGGCGCCACCCCCUGGGUCUUCUGGAAAAUAUCCUCUUCUUCAAAACUAUAAAUCAAGUUUUAUGUCACGUGUGCCGAAUACCUACUGUUUGUAGACUUUAACAUUGUUUUAUAUUUUAUUUUUAUUUUACCGUUAUUUUACCAGGUAAGUUGACUGAGAACACGUUCUCAUUUACAGCAACGACCUGGGGAAUAGUUACAGGGGAGAGGAAGGGGAUGAAUGAGCCAAUUGGAAGCUGGGGAUGAUUAGGUGGCCAUCUUGGGAAUUUAGCCAGGACACCAGGGGUUAACGCCCCUACUCUUACGAUAAGCGCCAUGGGAUCUUUAGUGACCUCAGAGAGUCAGGACACCCAUUUAACAUCCCAUCUGAAAGACAGCACCGUACACAGGGCAAUGUCCCCAAUGUAAUGAUUGGUUACUAGCCCUUCUCAACGAUGCAGAGUUAAAACAUUAAAUAAUGUAAAACGGGGAAUAAUACUAAAUACACUGGAGUAUACGGAAGUACAGGCUCAAUGUGGAGCUAUAUACAGGGAGUACCAGAUCAAUGUGGAGCUAUAUACAGGGAGUACCAGAUCAAUGUGGAGCUAUA
This 1984-nucleotide long non-coding RNA is filed under the name Salmo salar (Atlantic salmon). RNAcentral describes it as "lncRNA (ENSSSAG00000106390.1)". The record is from RNAcentral. Lineage: Eukaryota; Metazoa; Chordata; Actinopteri; Salmoniformes; Salmonidae.